GGAGUUAGCCGGUGUUUCUUCUGUGAGUGAUGUCCUUCCUGCCGGCUAUUAACCCGCAGGCCUUCUUCCUCACUGAAAGUGCUUUACAACCCGAAGGCCUUCUUCACACACGCGGCAUGGCUGGAUCAGGGUUGCCCCCAUUGUCCAAUAUUCCCCACUGCUGCCUCCCGUAGGAGUCUGGGCCGUGUCUCAGUCCCAGUGUGGCUGAUCAUCCUCUCAGACCAGCUACGGAUCGUCGCCUUGGUGAGCCGUUACCUCACCAACCAGCUAAUCCGACAUAGGCUCAUCCGAUAGCGCGAGGCCCGAAGGUCCCCCGCUUUCCCCCGUAGGGCGUAUGCGGUAUUAGCCUGGGUUUCCCCAGGUUAUCCCCCACUACCGGGCAGAUUCCUAUGCAUUACUCACCCGUCCGCCGCUCGCCACCAGGGAGCAAGCUCCCCGUGCUGCCGCUCGACUUGCAUGUGUUAGGCCUGCCGCCAGCGUUCAAUCUGAGCCAGGAUCAAACUCUGA
This 507-nucleotide ribosomal RNA is filed under the name uncultured bacterium. Its description in RNAcentral is "partial 16S ribosomal RNA". The record is from RNAcentral.